AGAAAAUCAACUUAAUCUAAAUUUUGAGAUGUGGAUCUGUCUCACCAACAUUCUCGCGAGAUUUGCUCUUCCUUGAAAACACGCAUGCGCAUUUAGUGGGCGGAUGUGACGUGAUUUCGAUUGGAAGAAACAAUUCUGCAUCGAAGGAAUAACGACUGAAAUAUUGGAGUGUCGAAAUGACAAAACGAAAACCUGGAAAACGAUGGAGAAGAACUGGUAAAUAAGUCAACUCAAAUAAACGAUCAAGAAGGACUGUACAAUUGUCAUUCCGUCCUGCAGCCACCAAUGUGAACGUGGAGACUGAUGAGCAAUGUCUAAGAGGUAGCAGCAGGGGAACACUGCAGGAGGCGGUGCCUCCUGAAGGAGCCCAAAACACUGCUCUUUAAAUGGAACACAUCCAACCUCCAGGUGUCCAUGCAGGAUGUACUACUCUGGAACAUCAAGCCUCUCCCUACCUGCCAGCACAUGAAAAUAUUUCUACUUUUGACUCUAUCAAAGACAAUGGAAAACCAUUUUCCAGAUCAGCCCUCAUAGAUCCUCCUGAUGGCCUAACAACUGAACUACAUGUCGAUGCUGAGUAUGAUCCAUCUCAAUCAUUUGCGGAAGCUCUCCCUGAUAUGGGGGAUUGGCUGUACAAUGACGGACAUACGUUUAAUGAAUGAUUUAAAGAUAGUUUGAGUGAGGAGUGUGCAGAAGAGUCAAAUUUCUAGGACACAACAGACAAACCAAUAUAUGACAAUGCAUCAGUAACCGUUUCAGAGUGCCUUCUGAUCAUCAUGGGUUAUGUAAACUGUCAUAAAGUCACUGAUUAGGCCCUAAGCGAUUUGCUCAAAAUGUUCAAGUUGCUUUGUCCCGAUAGUCUGAAUACAGACUGCUUUAACAGUGUACAGAGGUUCAAAAACUUUUUUUAUCCCGCUCUUCAUCAUCGCCUAUUUUAUUACAUAAAUACUGCAGUAAUUGUUUUGGGCCGUUAGAAAGUAAACAAAUAAAAUGCCUGUCUUGUGGGGCCAGUGUGUCAGAAGAAAGAUCCUCAUCCUUUAUAGAGGUUCCAAUUAAGGCUCAAAUAAGGUCAUUGUUCCUCAAGCCAGGUUUUCAGGAGAAGCUUAACUUUAGAUUAAGCAGAAAGAAGGCAGAUGCUAACAACAUUGAAGCUAUAUAUGAUGCAAAAGUUUACAAACAGCUUGUCGAUAGGGGUGGUCCUCUUAGUGACCCAAAAAACAUCUCACUUACUUGGAACACCUAUGGGGUACCUAUUUUCAAAUCUUCCAAGUUUUCAGUGUGGCCUUUUUAAUGUAUCGUCAAUGAAUUAAGCUUCAUGGAACGCACAAAAAGAGAGAAUAUGAUAUUUGCUGGACUUUGGUAUGGGGAUUCAAAACCAUCCAUGGUUACCGUAUGUUUCGGACUAUAAGUCACAGUUUUUUUCAUAGUUUGGCCAGGGGUGCGACUUAUGGUCAGGAGCGACUUAUGUGUGAAAUUAUUAACACAUUAGCGUAAAAUAUCAAAUAUUAUUUAGCUCAUUCACGUAAGAGACUAGACGUAUAAGAUUUCAUGGGAUUUAGCGAUUAGGAGUGACGGAUUGUUUGGUAAACGUAUAGCAUGUUCUAUAUGUUAUAGUUAUUUGAAUGACUCUUACCAUAAUAUGUUACGUUAACAUACCAGGCACGUUCUCAGUUGGUUAUUUAUGCCUCAUAUAACGUACACUUAUUCAGUCUGUUGUUCACUAUUCUUUAUUUAUUUUAAAUUGCCUUUCGAAUGUCUAUUCUUGGUGUUGGGUUUUAUCAAAUACAUUUCCCCAAAAAAUGCGACUUAUACAGUAUAUGUUUUUUUCCUUCUUUAUUAUGCAUUUUCUGUCGGUGUGACUUAUACUCCGGAAAAUACGGUACAUUUUUGAGACCACUAAGUGACACACUGAGUAAGCUUGCAGACAAUGGAAUUAUUGUGCAACCUGCAGAGUUGACAUGUGAACCUUUUGUGUGUAAAGUGCUCACCAUUGCUGGAACAUGCGACUUGCCUGCUAAAGCAUUAGUCCUUAAUUCAGUGCAAUACAAUGGGAAAUUUGGAUGUCAUGAAUGCGAACAGCCAGGAAACCGGGGAAAGAGGAUACACCCAUGUAUUUCCAUUCCAACAUAGAGAUCCAAAUGGGCCACUGCGCACCAAUUAAAAGUUUGUACUGGAUAUGAAAAAUCGCAAAUGAAACCAAAACCAUUGUCAAAGGGGUAAAGGGUCCCUGUUGCCUGAGCAAACUUAAAAUGUAUAACCUUAUCAAAGGCACUGCCGUAGAUUACACACACUCAGUCCUCCUCGAAGAAAUGCGCCUUUUGAAGAUGUUGUGGUUUUCUACAGAGUUUUCUCGUCAGCCCUUUAGCAUGGCAAAGAAUACCAAAGAAAUUGACAGGCGAUUUCAGGAAGACUGUCCUCCAUCCUCAACUACAUAGCCUCGAUCAGUGGCAUCUCACAGAAUGUUUUUUAAAGCAUCAGAAUACCGGGAUCUUUUGCUGUUCUAUGGACCAUGAAUUGAUUAACGUGGACCCCGACUUAAACAAGUUGAAAAACGUAUUCGGGUGUUACCAUUUAGUGGUCAAUUGUACGGAAUAUGUACUGUACUGUGCAAUCUACUAAUAAAAGUCUCAAUCAAUCAAUCAAUCAAAAAACUGUUAUUUUCCGUGGAAUUCUUGCAACAAUGUACUACAACCACUUCCUUCUACUAAGUGAAGCCAUUUUCAUUUUGUUGAUGGACUCUAUAUCGGUUGAACAGAUCCAUCAUGCAGAAAAACUAUUGUGGAAUGUUUGUUCUCAAAUGGCUACACUCUAUGGUGAGCGGUACGAAACUGCAAAUGUACACCUUCUUGUGCACCUGGCAGACAAUGUCAGGGCCCUUGGUCCAUUAUGGACACAUUCAUGUUUCCACUUUGAAGACAAAAAUGGAUAUUUGUUAAGGCUCAUACAUGGUACCCAAAAUAUACCUAUGCAGAUGGUAAAUGCAGUCUAACUUGUGCAGUCUAUUCCUGUUAUUUCACAAACUAUUAACCCAGGGAAUGUCAUAGCUGAAUUUUACAGACAUAUGACUAAAGAUGAUAGUUUCUGUCAGGAAAACAAAGAUUUGUCUAGGAUUAAACUAUAUGGAGCAUCUAGUGAACUUCCAUUGGACACAGUUCACCUCUCUGCAUUGCAAAUACUGUACAUGCUGGUCACUGCAUCAAUUCUGGAACAGUAGGCAUCUUUCACAGGGCACACGUUAAGAGAAAGUAUCUCACAUCAAAACACUAUGAUAAAGGUAAUAGAAGAAACAAUUUUACAGUUUUUUUUCAAAUGACGGACAAACAAAGUAUGAACAGAUUGAUUUCUUUACCAUAGCACAUUCAUGUGCCAAAUGGGCCCCCGUUCGUGAAUUUAAACAUGCAGGUUUUUCUUUGCUGCAAGAUAGUGUAACAAAUGGUACAUGCAGUCAUGUUAUUCCCCUAUUGGAAACCUCUGCCAGUACAGUAGUAUCCUUGGAUGACAUAUUGGGUAAAGUUGUUUUCCUUGACUUCACAUCUAUGCCUGGCAGUGUGUUUGCAGUUCAUUUCCCAAACACACUUGAAAAGUUUUAACUAAUUAAGAACUGAACUGGCCUAAGAAGCCACAAAUCAAAUAUUUGAUCAUUGUUAUAAAUGCUCUGAAAAUACACACCGAUGUGAUGUUGCCGUGGAUGCUGUAAA
This is a long non-coding RNA of Entelurus aequoreus (snake pipefish), 3698 nucleotides long. RefSeq lists it as uncharacterized. The record is from RefSeq and is a predicted model, not a curated record. The transcript is spliced from 5 exons. Lineage: Eukaryota; Metazoa; Chordata; Actinopteri; Syngnathiformes; Syngnathidae.